ACUGGAGUUUGAUCCUGGCUCAGAUUGAACGCUGGCGGAAUGCUUUACACAUGCAAGUCGAACGGUAGAGGGGGCAACCCCUUGAGAGUGGCGAACGGGUGAGUAAUAUAUCGGAACGUGCCCAGUCGUGGGGGAUAACGUAGUGAAAUUACGCUAAUACCGCAUACGAUCUAAGGAUGAAAGCGGGGAUCACAAGACCUCGCGCGAUUGGAGCGGCCGAUAUCAGAUUAGGUAGUUGGUAGGGUAAAGGCCUACCAAGCCAACGAUCUGUAGCUGGUCUGAGAGGACGACCAGCCACACUGGAACUGAGACACGGUCCAGACUCCUACGGGAGCAGCAGUGGGGAAUUUGGACAAUGGGGCGCAAG
This 367-nucleotide ribosomal RNA is filed under the name uncultured Limnohabitans sp. RNAcentral describes it as "bacterial SSU rRNA". It matches the Rfam family "Bacterial small subunit ribosomal RNA", at positions 1 to 381 of the family's 1533-position model. Lineage: Bacteria; Pseudomonadati; Pseudomonadota; Betaproteobacteria; Burkholderiales; Comamonadaceae. The record is from RNAcentral.